UUAGCCCUAAACACAGAUAAUUACAUAAACAAAAUUAUUCGCCAGAGUACUACUAGCAACAGCUUAAAACUCAAAGGACUUGGCGGUGCUUUAUAUCCUUCUAGAGGAGCCUGUUCUAUAAUCGAUAAACCCCGAUAAACCUCACCAAUUCUUGCUAAUACAGUCUAUAUACCGCCNUCUUCNGCNGUCCCUGGGAAAUGGGAGUGUAANCGUGUUAUUUNCNUGGAACGUUAGCUCNGGNUCUGCCUAUUAGUAAUUGAAAAUANCUCGUNCUCUCNCCAUAGAGAUCGGCACUAAGCUUUAUGAACCCGCUACCUAG
Molecule: ribosomal RNA, 319 nt
Filed under: Bos taurus (domestic cattle)
Lineage: Eukaryota; Metazoa; Chordata; Mammalia; Artiodactyla; Bovidae
Description: partial small subunit ribosomal RNA
Source: RNAcentral